This 253-nucleotide ribosomal RNA is filed under the name uncultured bacterium. RNAcentral's name for it is "partial 16S ribosomal RNA". It matches the Rfam family "Bacterial small subunit ribosomal RNA", at positions 524 to 776 of the family's 1533-position model. The record is from RNAcentral.
UACGUAGGGUGCGAGCGUUAAUCGGAAUUACUGGGCGUAAAGCGUGCGCAGGCGGUUCGUUAUGUCCGAUGUGAAAGCCCCGAGCUUAACUUGGGAAUGGCAUUGGAAACUGGCGGGCUGGAGUGUGGCAGAGGGGGGUGGAAUUCCACGUGUAGCAGUGAAAUGCGUAGAGAUGUGGAGGAACACCGAUGGCGAAGGCAGCCCCCUGGGCCAACACUGACGCUCAGGCACGAAAGCGUGGGGAGCAAACAGG